Molecule: ribosomal RNA, 276 nt
Filed under: uncultured prokaryote
Description: partial 16S ribosomal RNA
Rfam family: Bacterial small subunit ribosomal RNA
Source: RNAcentral
UACGUAGGGGCUAGCGUUAUCCGGAAUUACUGGGCGUAAAGGGUGCGUAGGUGGUUUCUUAAGUCAGUGGUGAAAGGCUACGGCUCAACCGUAGUAAGCCUUUGAAACUGGGAAACUUGAGUGCAGGAGAGGAGAGUGGAAUUCCUAGUGUAGCGGUGAAAUGCGUAGAUAUUAGGAGGAACACCAGUUGCGAAGGCGGCUCUCUGGACUGUAACUGACACUGAGGCACGAAAGCGUGGGGAGCAAACAGGAUUAGAUACCCCUGUAGUCCCUGAG